UGGUGAACACAUAGCCACCGAGCGGGGAACCCGGGGAACUGAAACAUCCAAGUACCCGGAGGAAAAGAGAAGAUUCCGUGAGUAGUGGCGAGCGAAAGCGGAGUAGCCUAAACCGUUGCGACUUCGGUUGCAGCGGGGUUGUAGGACCGACAGCAAGCAGACUCUGGUAGUCGAACAGCACUGGAAAGGCUGGCCAAAGCGGGUGAUAGCCCCGUAGACGAAACAAAGGGUGUGUGGGUCGGGAUCCUGAGUACGGCGGGACACGAGAAAUCCUGCCGGAAGCUGGGGAGACCACUUCCCAAGGCUAAAUACAAUUGACGACCGAGAGUGAACCAGUACCAUGAGGGAAAGGUGAAAAGCACCCCGGUAAGGGGAGUGAAAUAGAACCUGAAACCAUGUGCUUACAAGCAGUCAGAGCCCGAUGCCGGUUCGCCGGCCGGGUGAUGGCGUGCCUCUUGGAGAAUGAGCCGACGAGUUACUCUCAGUGGCAAGGUUAAGGCAGAGACAGCCGGAGCCGCAGCGAAAGCGAGUCUGAAGAGGGCGUAGAGUCGCUGGGAGUAGACCCGAAACGGGGUGAGCUAGCCAUGGCCAGGGUGAAGUGGGCGUAACAGCUCAUGGAGGCCCGAACCGAUGUAUGUUACAAAAUGCUCGGAUGAGCUGUGGCUAGGGGUAAAAUGCCAAUCGAACCCCGUGAUAGCUGGUUCUCUCCGAAAUAACUUUAGGGUUAGCGUCAUCUGAUGAGCAACGGAGGUAGAGCACUGAUCGAGGUAGGGGCCUAACGGGCUACCGAACUCCUUCAAACUCCGAAUGCCGUUGUGAGAGGAUGGCAGUCGGGCAGUGGGGGAUGAGCCUCAUUGCCGAGAGGGAAACAACCCAGACCGACAGCUAAGGUCCCCAAGUGGUGACUAAGUGGGAAAGGAUGUGGGGUUACUGAGACAGCCAGGAGGUUGGCUUAGAAGCAGCCACCCUUGAAAGAGUGCGUAAUAGCUCACUGGUCAAGUGAUCCUGCGCCGAAAAUAUAACGGGGCUCAAGUCACCCACCGAAGCUACGGGUGUGCGUAAGCACGCAGUAGGCGAGCGUUCUGAUAGGCUGUGAAGCCGUACCGGAAGGAGCGGUGGAGCUGUCAGAAGUGAGAAUGUUGGCACGAGUAGCGAAAACGAUGCGAGAAUCAUCGUCCCCGUAAAUCUAAGGUUUCCGACGGAAGGUCAAUCCACGUCGGGUGAGUCGGGCCUAAGGCGAGGCGGAAGCGCGUAGCCGAUGGACAACAGGUUAAUAUUCCUGUACCAUGCCAAGUUGAUUGAGCGAAGGGGUGACGCAGAAGGGUAGGUUGGCCGGCCGUUGGUCGUGCCGGUGCCAAGCUUUGAGGUGUCGAGACCAGGGCGAAAAGACUGGUUGAGCCAAGGAGUGACGGCGAGCCCGCAAGGGCGGAAGCAAUUGAGCCCAAGCUGCCAAGAAAAGCCUCUAGUGAGACUUGCAUGCCCGUACCGCAAACCGACACAGGUAGAUGGGUAGAGAAUACCAAGGGGGCCGGGGGAAUCUCCGCUAAGGAAUUAGGCAAAAUAGGUCCGUAACUUCGGGAGAAGGACCGCCGGAGUAGGGUGCAAGCUCGAAACGGCCGCAGAGAAAUGGCUCUAUCGACUGUUUAUCAAAAACACAGGUCUGUGCGAAGUCGCAAGACGAAGUAUACAGGCUGACGCCUGCCCAGUGCCGGAAGGUUAAGGGGAGGGGUGCAAGCCCUGAACUGAAGCCCCGGUGAACGGCGGCCGUAACUAUAACGGUCCUAAGGUAGCGAAAUUCCUUGUCGGGUAAGUUCCGACCCGCACGAAAGGCGUAACGAAUGGAGCGCUGUCUCGGCGGAGAGCCCGGUGAAACUGAAUUAGGAGUGAAGAUGCUUCUUACCCGCAGCUGGACAAAAAGACCCCGUGGAGCUUUACUGUAGCUUGGCAUUGGGUUAGGACGUAGUCUGUGUAGGAUAGGUGGGAGACUGAGAAGCUGGGGCGCUAGCCUCGGUGGAGUCACCGGUGAAAUACCACUCUGAUUACGUUUUGACUCUAACCUUCACCGUUAUCCGGUGAGGAGACAGUGCCAGGUGGGCAGUUUGACUGGGGCGGUCGCCUCCUAAAAGGUAACGGAGGCGUGCAAAGGUGCCCUCAGGCUGAAUGGAAACCAGUCGAAGAGUGCAAACGCAUAAGGGCGCUUGACUGCGAGACGAACAGGUCAAGCAGAGACGAAAGUCGGCGUUAGUGAUCCUAUGGUACCGAGUGGAAGGGCCAUGGCUUAACGGAUAAAAGCUACCCCGGGGAUAACAGGCUAGUCUCCCCCAAGAGUUCACAUCGACGGGGAGGUUCGGCACCUCGAUGUCGGCUCGUCACAUCCUGGGGCCGUAGCAGGUCCCAAGGGUCGGGCUGUUCGCCCGUUAAAGUGGUACGCGAGCUGGGUUCAGACCGUCGUGAGACAGGUCGGUCUCUAUCCGCUGUGGGCGUAAGGGAAUUGAGAAGAGCUGCCCCUAGUACGAGAGGACCGGGGUGGACGGACCGCUGGUGUGCCAGUUGUGGUGCCAACCGCAUCGCUGGGUAGCUAAGUCCGGGAUGGAUAACCGCUGAAAGCAUCUAAGUGGGAAGCCGGCUUCGAGAUAAGUUCCCUCACAGGGCAACCUGGUAAGUGUGCUGGAAGACGACCAGCUUGAUAGGCGGUGCGUGUACAGCCAGCAAUGGUUUGAGCGAAACCGUACUAAUACACGAGGGCUUAAUCA
RNAcentral lists this ribosomal RNA (2753 nucleotides) under activated sludge metagenome. Its description in RNAcentral is "bacterial LSU rRNA". It matches the Rfam family "Bacterial large subunit ribosomal RNA". The record is from RNAcentral.